UACGUAGGGUGCAAGCGUUAAUCGGAAUUAUUGGGCGUAAAGCGCGCGCAGGCGGUCCUUUAAGUCUGAUGUGAAAUCCCACGGCUCAACCGUGGAAGGUCAUUGGAAACUGGGGGACUUGAGUACAGAAGAGGAAAGCGGAAUUCCAAGUGUAGCGGUGAAAUGCGUAGAGAUUUGGAGGAACACCAGUGGCGAAGGCGGCUUUCUGGUCUGUAACUGACGCUGAGGCGCGAAAGCGUGGGGAGCAAACAGG
Molecule: ribosomal RNA, 253 nt
Filed under: uncultured bacterium
Lineage: Bacteria
Description: partial 16S ribosomal RNA
Rfam family: Bacterial small subunit ribosomal RNA
Source: RNAcentral